UACGUAGGGUCCGAGCGUUGUCCGGAAUUAUUGGGCGUAAAGAGCUCGUAGGCGGUCUGUCACGUCGGCUGUGAAAACCCGGGGCUCAACCCCGGGCCUGCAGUCGAUACGGGCAGACUAGAGUUCGGUAGGGGAGACUGGAAUUCCUGGUGUAGCGGUGAAAUGCGCAGAUAUCAGGAGGAACACCGGUGGCGAAGGCGGGUCUCUGGGCCGAAACUGACGCUGAGGAGCGAAAGCGUGGGGAGCGAGCAGG
This 253-nucleotide ribosomal RNA is filed under the name uncultured bacterium. Its description in RNAcentral is "partial 16S ribosomal RNA". It matches the Rfam family "Bacterial small subunit ribosomal RNA", at positions 524 to 776 of the family's 1533-position model. The record is from RNAcentral.